CUCCCUUCACCCCUCGCAGGGGCGGAAAAAGGAGGUGUGACAUUCACCAGUCCAGGUACUUUUCUAUGUCCAUUUAAGGACGAACGUUUGUUUCAGAGGUAGAGAAUGUGAUGACAAUAGGUCAUUUUCAGUUUUAGCCCUCAUUUUUGUAUUUUGAAACCUCGAAUAACUCCAUUUAGCCUUUCUCAAUUUGCAUGCACAGUCUGUGUUUUCCCCCAAAAGGUUUUUAUGUGAAACAUUGAUAAAAAUGUGAAAUCGUGCCUUAAAAUUCAUUUGAAUUGACUUCGGCCAAUGUUUUGAGCAAACAGACCCGAAUCAGUAUUUUGAUAGUCUCGUUGGGUCCGUAUCAUGAUUUGGGACUUGUGCGUAUGCUCGGAAUUGAAUUCAGAAGUCCCUAGCUUGAUUUGUCAUAAUUUGUUGGAAACUAGAAGUUUAAAUGUUUAAAGAAAUUCUAAGUUUGGCCAUAGUUUGACUUUGUUGCUAAUGAGUCCGAAUUUUGGUUCCAAAACUUGGUAUAAGUUUAUUAUAGUAUUUAUGAUUUGUCUGCAAAAUGGAGCUAAUUUGACGUGAUUCGGUUGUCCGGUUGAAAAGUUGCAUGUUCUUAAGUUUCAUUGAAAAUUUCAUUCAUUUUUGUAUCCGAUUCAUAGUUCUAGGUAUUAUUUUGGUGUUUUGAUCAUGCGAGCACGUUCAUAUGGUGUUAUUACACUUGUGUGCAUGUUUGUCUUGGAGCCCGAGGGGCUCAGGUGAGUUUCGGAUAUGUUACAGAGUGGUUUUUGACUUAGAGUAAUAGCUUAUGCAUUUUGUUUCUGGUGCUGGGGCUGCAGAUCUCGCAUUUACGAGGUGUGGCUCACAAAUGCGAGCCUUACUUUUGCGACUUUUGCGAUCAAAUCAUCUCAUUUGCGAGCAUGGGCUAGGGACUGGGGUUCUCGCAUUUGUGAGUUUUCUGUCGCAUUUGCAAUAAAUUCAGGUUUGCAUUGGCAAAGAAAUUUUUCGCAUUUGCAAUGGCAAUAGAGGUGUGAAUUCUUCACAUUUACGAGGAAUUAUUUGCACUUGCAGGGUUCGCAAUUGAGAACCCUGGGUUGCAUUUGCGAUAUCUGCGCUUUGUCAAAAGCUGAGAAAAAUGGGAAUUAGCUCAUUUCUUUCAAAAUAUCGACCCUAAAUACCCUAGAGGCGAUUGUCUCAAGAGAUUUUCUUCUUGAAUUCAUUGGUAAAUGACUUUAAUCUAUUUCUUUUCAAUUACUCAUUACAUUUCAUAAGUUUUCAAUAUUACAUCUAGGAUUUUCAUGGUAGAAAUUAGGGAUUUGAGUAGAAUCAGAGAUUAUUAUAAAUUUAGAAUUCAGACCUCAAAUUGAGGUCGUAUCUAAAAAUAAAUUACAUAACCGGGAUCGGGGGUGAAUGGGUAUUCGGGUUUUGGUACGAAUCUCGAGUUUUGACCAAGCGAGUCCGGGGUUGACUUUUGUAGACUUUUUCAAUAUUGAACUAAAUUGGACAUCUUUCAUUCAUGGGUAGUUUCUAAACUUAUUUUGAAUCGUUUGGUCAAUAAUUUACUAGAUUUAGUUGAUUUGGAGGCUUGUUCGAAAGGCAAGGUCGUGGUUGAAUUUUGAGUUGGUUGCAGAGUAGCGGCGUAUAUGCAAGGUGACUAGUGUCUAUAUCCCGUCAAUUACUUGUUUCCAUGCCUAUCUGUAUUUCAUUAAUUAUAUCAUUCCAUGUGUUGGUUGUUACAUGCCUUAAAUGCUUCCUAUGCCUUAACUUGCUACUUGUCAUUUAUUAUUCUCGCAUUAUAAAUGUUAAUCCCUUCCAUACUCCCAUGCUUAAUUGAUACUUGCCUUAAUUGUCUUACUUGUAUCCUUUAAUUGUCAUAUAUUUGACUUGUCUUGUUGCUCAAAAUUAGUUGUAGCCUUUCAUGAUUUGGUACGAGAUUCCUUCUUGAUUUGUAGCUUUCAUAUUCGUUAAUCGCAAAGAUUCUUGUGAUUCGAAUUGUUAAAUUGUUGCACUUAUUUAUUUAUUGUUCGGAUUGCACGCCAAAACAUGUAGAAUAAGGGAGGAUUUAUAUUAAUAUGGUGGGAUCGGAUUGCGCGCCGCAAUAGGUGAAAUAAGAGUAAAUUGAUAUGGUAAAAUAAGGGAGAAUUAUGAUAUUGACUCUGAUUAUAUGGUGGGAUCAGGUUGCAUGCCGCAACAUAUAUUACUUAUUAUUAUUUAUAUUUACAUGGUAGAAUAAGGGAGGAUAGUGUUAUAUGGUGGGAUCGGGUUGCGAUGAAACGGUUUAUCUGUUUCUAUUCCUUAAUGUAUUGUUUUGGCUUCGGUACUUGAGACUCUAAGAAUUGGUACUUCUGGUAUUCACUGAUUUUCUUUGAGGAUUGAGUUAUUUCCAUGAGUUAACUGCUUUAUUUUUUCGUAUGUUCCUUUCCUGUUAUUAUUUUAUACUGCGUACAGGUUAUUGAAAGUGACCCGCCUUAGGCUCGGCACUUAUAUAGUACAUGGAGUCGGUUGUACUCAUACUACACUCUGCAUUUCUUGUGCAGAUUUUAGAGUCAGUCUCAUCAUCGAUCAGUAGAUUGCUCAGGUUGACUAUCAGUAUGGAGACUUGAUGUAUAACUGCUCGGCGCUUGCAGUCCUGAAGUGCCCUCCUACUUUAUCUUAGAUGUGUAUUUUCUUUCAGGCAACUUUACUUUCAUUCUGAUCUUUAUCUGUAUUAUUCUAGUAGCUCGUGCACUUGUGACACCAGAUUCGGAGUUGUAUUUAGAUAUCUCAGUUGUUACGGCUUUCAGCACUUUAUUUCUGUUUUAUCUCAGUUAUUUCAAUAAUUGUCAUCAGUUAAAUUUGAUUUAAAAUGGCUUAAAACUAUUUUAAAAUUGGCUUGCCUAGAAAGUGAAAUGUUAGGCGCCAUCACGAUUCCAAUAGUGAAAUUCCGGGUCGUGACAUCCUUAAUUUUAUUUUUGUCCCUUUUUCUCUUGCCCUUUUUUUUUUUUUUGGAUUCUUGGGUCUUGAAUCCAGGGUUUUGGAAUUGGUAUCAUGGGUGGUGAAGUGUGCUUCGGAUAAUCGAAUCCUGAUGGCUGCAAUCAACACAUCAGGGUCAAUCAAAAAGUUUCAAGAAAAAUGUCAGUAAUUAUGAAAUUAUUAAUAGGAUUUACUCAUUAAUCCACCUUGGAAAACAUAUUAUGUUUAAUGUUUUACUUUUCAUUGAUGAUGUGUCCUUUUCUUUGUUGCAGAAGAUGAACACAUACGAUCAAGGAAAGAAAAGAAUUAACAGCAGUAUGCCUCCACAACAAGACACUAUUAGGAUGGUACAAUUCUUGCAUUGUAAUUAGAUCGAGAAUUAAACCUUUUAUGAAAGAAACUAUACGGUUCUAAUGAUUUAAUGAUAUUGGGUCAAUCGAAAUCUUUUUGAUUUUCCUAUUAUCUAUAGAUUAGAUAAAUAAUAGUUAUAAAUAUAUAGUCCUAGACUUUCUGCAAUUAUGUACGACUAGGUAAGUGGGUAUCAU
Molecule: long non-coding RNA, 3482 nt
Filed under: Nicotiana tabacum (common tobacco)
Lineage: Eukaryota; Viridiplantae; Streptophyta; Magnoliopsida; Solanales; Solanaceae
Description: long non-coding RNA (NTAB_LNC001840)
Source: RNAcentral